Molecule: long non-coding RNA, 1524 nt
Organism: Symphalangus syndactylus (siamang)
Lineage: Eukaryota; Metazoa; Chordata; Mammalia; Primates; Hylobatidae
Source: RefSeq, a predicted model, not a curated record
UCUAUAAAUAGGGAAUGGGUCCACGUGACAGUUUGGCAGCUGCUCCUACCUCUCCACCCCGCCCAGCCUUCAGCUUCUGAGGCUGCGCAAGGGGAGAAAAGGGUUAGGGGGUCGAGCCCUGACUUCGCCUCCUCUUCCAAGAAGCCUUCCCAGACACUCAGCUGUAAAACCAGACGGACGUCCUCCGAUAAAAUUGUUUCUACGUAGGGCCGGCUUCACCGGCUUGGAAUCCACUUAGAAGGGUCUUCGCGCUUGGUUGAAUGUUCUGCAAUUUCUGUCUUGAAAUUUUUAGUUUUUGAGCAAGUGGCCCCUUAUUUUCACUUUGCACUAGGCCAAAUAUGUAGCCGGUCUUGCUGCUAAGAGUCUAAGAUCGAUUGCAUUCCAAAUUCUGGAAUUAUAAGACCCUGGGUGGAAGAUUCUAUGCUUUGACCAGAAGAGAGUCUAAGCAGCUUUUGUCUCCCAGGUGCUAGGAGGCUGUGUGCUCAUCAUUCUUCCAUUCCAGGGGCCUUUGUUCUACGUUGUAAGGGGCUUUGUUCUCAGCCUUCUAUGAUGCUCUAUUCUCAACGUUCUCUGGUCCUAGGAGUCUGAGCCUGACAUUCGUUUCCAAGGCUUCCUGCUGUCUCUCCAGGCUCCGCAAGCAGGGCUGGGGCACCCUCAGGCGGCCAACCUGUGUCACUACGCCGAGCCUGCCUCUACCAACUUGCAAGACCUAGCUCUAAUAUUCAUACUCAUCUCUCAGGCAGACCUUGACUCCCUAAAUGCCAAGGCCCAGAAGAUCAUACGAGAAAUUCCCUCUUUUAUGAUUCCCCGUGCAUGAAGUGACCUUCUGGUGGUGAGAUGGAGAGAAAUUGAUAGUGGCGAUAGACAGCAAAGUCUCCAGGAGCCAGACUUCCUCGGGGCUAUGUUGCCCAAACUGGACUCAAACUCCUGGACUCCAGCGAUCCUCCCACCUCAGCCUCUUAAGUAGCUGGGAAUACAGUCACCUGCCACCAUGCCCAGCUUUCAGGGAACGUGCCGCUGAGGCUGACGUACAUGAUCACGCCCACCGACCACAUGUCCAGCGAGCGGUUGUAGCCCUGGUUGAGUAGCACCUCGGGCGCCAGGUAGGCCGGCGUGCCCACCACCGAGCGGCGGAAGGACUUCUCGCCGAUGAUGCGUGCAAAGCCAAAGUCACACAGCUUCACCUGCAGAGGGCGAGGGGUGGAGGCUCUACCAGGUGAUGGAGACGCACCCGCCCCAGCAUCCCCACCACGCUACCCUCCAUGGUAUUCCAGAGAAAGCUGAAUGCUGGUUUGAAUCCCGGCUUCUGGGCUCACUAGCUGAGCAACCCUGGGCAAGUAACUUCCCCCCACUCUGUGCCUCAGUUUCCCCAUCUACAGGAAGAAGAUGAGCAGAAGAGCGCCUAUCUCAGAGGACUGCCAUGAUGGUUAGUGAGUUAAACCAUCCAAAGCCCACAGGACAAUAUUUGGCAUGCAGUUGGUGUAUAAUAAAUGCUAGCUGCUGCUAUACCUCUGCCACCUCCAA